CAGUAGCCGCGGUAAUACGGAGGGUGCAAGCGUUAAUCGGAAUUACUGGGCGUAAAGCGCACGCAGGCGGUCUGUUAAGUCAGAUGUGAAAUCCCCGGGCUCAACCCGGGAACUGCAUUUGAAACUGGCAGGCUUGAGUCUUGUAGAGGGGGGUAGAAUUCCAGGUGUAGCGGUGAAAUGCGUAGAGAUCUGGAGGAAUACCGGUGGCGAAGGCGGCCCCCUGGACAAAGACUGACGCUCAGGUGCGAAAGCGUGGGGAGCAAACAGGAUUAGAUACCCGGGUAGUCCCUGUCUCUUAUAC
Molecule: ribosomal RNA, 301 nt
Filed under: uncultured bacterium
Lineage: Bacteria
Description: partial 16S ribosomal RNA
Rfam family: Bacterial small subunit ribosomal RNA
Source: RNAcentral